This 497-nucleotide ribosomal RNA is filed under the name uncultured bacterium. RNAcentral's name for it is "partial 16S ribosomal RNA". It matches the Rfam family "Bacterial small subunit ribosomal RNA", at positions 28 to 507 of the family's 1533-position model. The record is from RNAcentral.
GAUGAACGCUGGCGGCGUGCCUAAUACAUGCAAGUCGAGCGAACAGAUGAGGAGCUUGCUCCUCUGACGUUAGCGGCGGACGGGUGAGUAACACGUGGAUAACCUACCUAUAAGACUGGGAUAACUUCGGGAAACCGGAGCUAAUACCGGAUAAUAUAUUUAACCGCAUGGUUCAAUAGUGAAAGACGGUUUUGCUGUCACUUAUAGAUGGAUCCGCGCCGCAUUAGCUAGUUGGUAAGGUAACGGCUUACCAAGGCAACGAUGCGUAGCCGACCUGAGAGGGUGAUCGGCCACACUGGAACUGAGACACGGUCCAGACUCCUACGGGAGGCAGCAGUAGGAAAUCUUCCGCAAUGGGCGAAAGCCUGACGGAGCAACGCCGCGUGAGUGAUGAAGGUCUUCGGAUCGUAAAACUCUGUUAUUAGGGAAGAACAAAUGUGUAAGUAACUAUGCACGUCUUGACGGUACCUAAUCAGAAAGCCACGGCUAGCUACGUG